This 396-nucleotide ribosomal RNA is filed under the name uncultured bacterium. Its description in RNAcentral is "partial 16S ribosomal RNA". It matches the Rfam family "Bacterial small subunit ribosomal RNA", at positions 523 to 918 of the family's 1533-position model. The record is from RNAcentral.
AUACGUAGGGAGCGAGCGUUGUCCGGAAUUACUGGGUGUAAAGGGAGCGUAGGCGGGAGUGCAAGUCAGAUGUGAAAUACAUGGGCUCAACCCAUGGGCUGCAUUUGAAACUGCAUUUCUUGAGGGAAGUAGAGGUAAGCGGAAUUCCUGGUGUAGCGGUGAAAUGCGUAGAUAUCAGGAGGAACACCGGUGGCGAAGGCGGCUUACUGGGCUUUUACUGACGCUGAGGCUCGAAAGCGUGGGGAGCAAACAGGAUUAGAUACCCUGGUAGUCCACGCUGUAAACGAUGAUUACUAGGUGUGGGGGGACUGACCCCUUCCGUGCCGCAGUUAACACAAUAAGUAAUCCACCUGGGGAGUACGGCCGCAAGGUUGAAACUCAAAUGAAUUGACGGGG